CCCAUGCCACAGCUCAGUUCCUCCUUUUAAGACCAAAAAAAAAAGCAGGAAACAGAUAAUCUAAGAAUUAGGAGAAAACAAGGAGAAUGACCCGCUUUCAAGCACUCUGUAGGUUUUAUGGCACUUCUACUUGCCAGAGUAAAAUGGAAGUAAUACGGUCUUUGUGUACAUUUACAUUAAUGAAAAAGUGCCCUGAGGUCAACCUGCAAACUAUAGAGUUUCCAGGUUCCCUUUAUCUCCAUUUUCAUUUCUGCCUGCUUUAAAUCUGCUGUUACUUUUCUACUGAGAUAAAAACAACUGUUUGGAUCUAACAGGGUCAAGAAAACUUUUAAGCUGUUUACAGCUUUUAAUAAUUGAGUAAGGUAUACUCCUGUGAAGAAAAUUUGGAGCAUAUUUGUUUCUCUCUACCUGAUUUCUCCAAAAUUUGGAAACUAUUUAUUCACCUCUAAGAAUGCUCUCUGAACGUUCCUGGGAUGGAUGAAAUGCGGGGAGUGAAGAAGAUUUGUACUACUUCUAAAGCAGAGUUUACAAUUCAAGCUCUAAAGAAGAAAAAAUAAAUAAACUUAAGUAAAUAUAAACACAAGUUGCGGCACAUUCAAUAAUGAACUCUAACUUUGCAUUUAAAGGGAGAAAGAACUGCAGAUAAAUGAGGUCAAAAAUCCCUGGGGCUGAUGGUAAAGAGAAUCUUGACAGCAUCUCACUUCAUCAAACAGAGCUUAAGAAAGUUAUCCAUUACAGAUAAGCUUCUUUACCUUGAUGGCAGUCAUAUAGCCAAGCUUAAUGAGCAAAAUUUCAAGCAAAUACACUUUUUUUCCAAUAAUGUAAAAAUAAAACAAGAAUGCCUACACUCACUGUUACUCAUCAUAUAUCUAAGCACACAAUGUUAGAGGUGAUUCCAAGGAAUCAUCUCUCAUCUGUCCUCUCUACUGAUAUCAUCCCAAAGUAGAGAAGAUCCUUUAUUUGUUUGUUUGUUUGUGUAUUAUUUUUUGAGACAAGAUCUCAUUCUGUCACCCAGGCUGGAGUGCAGUGGCGCAAACACAGACCACUGCAGCUUUGACCUCUCCUGGUUCAAGUGAUCCUUCCACCUCAGCCUCUCGAGUAACUGGUAUUACAGGUGAGUGCCACCAGGUCCGGCUAAUUUUUGCCAUGUUGCCCAGGCUGGUCUUGAACUCCUGGGCUCAAGUGAUACACUCUCCUCGACCUCCCAAAAUGUUGGGAUUACAGGAUCCUUUAAAAUAUCCUGGGGCUUUAUCAAUAACUCUGAAAAACUUUGUGAACUUUCUUGAACUGUGGACUUAAACAUUCUUGUUUAAUUUGGAGCUUAUGAGUAAAUAUGUUAAAAAAUAGUCCACCAGAUAACUACCUUAUGCCAGAAAACGUUAAAAUCGUGAAGGGGAAGAAAAUCAUGUAAUGUUACUAUCUUUAACAGGAACAAAACGUAGUUAAGAUUGCAACAGAAUUUUCCAUAAAAUGCAUACAUGGUGUGAUAAGCACUUAUUAAGUGCUCAAUAAAUAUUUGUUGAAUGAAUG
This is a long non-coding RNA of Symphalangus syndactylus (siamang), 1530 nucleotides long. RefSeq lists it as uncharacterized. Lineage: Eukaryota; Metazoa; Chordata; Mammalia; Primates; Hylobatidae. The record is from RefSeq and is a predicted model, not a curated record.